UACGUAGGGGGCAAGCGUUGUCCGGAUUUAUUGGGCGUAAAGAGCGUGUAGGCGGCCAGGUAGGUCCGUUGUGAAAACUCGAGGCUCAACCUCGAGACGCCGAUGGAAACCAUCUGGCUAGAGUCCGGAAGAGGAGAGUGGAAUUCCCGGUGUAGCGGUGAAAUGCGCAGAUAUCGGGAAGAACACCCGUGGCUAAGGCGGCUCUCUAGUACGGUACUGACGCUGAGACGCGAAAGCGUGGGGAGCGAACAGG
This 253-nucleotide ribosomal RNA is filed under the name uncultured bacterium. RNAcentral's name for it is "partial 16S ribosomal RNA". It matches the Rfam family "Bacterial small subunit ribosomal RNA", at positions 524 to 776 of the family's 1533-position model. The record is from RNAcentral.